CUACAGGCUUAACACAUGCAAGUCGAGGGGCAGCAUGGUCUUAGCUUGCUAAGGCCGAUGGCGACCGGCGCACGGGUGAGUAACACGUAUCCAACCUGCCGUCUACUCUUGGACAGCCUUCUGAAAGGAAGAUUAAUACAAGAUGGCAUCAUGAGUCCGCAUGUUCACAUGAUUAAAGGUAUUCCGGUAGACGAUGGGGAUGCGUUCCAUUAGAUAGUAGGCGGGGUAACGGCCCACCUAGUCUUCGAUGGAUAGGGGUUCUGAGAGGAAGGUCCCCCACAUUGGAACUGAGACACGGUCCAAACUCCUACGGGAGGCAGCAGUGAGGAAUAUUGGUCAAUGGGCGAGAGCCUGAACCAGCCAAGUAGCGUGAAGGAUGACUGCCCUAUGGGUUGUAAACUUCUUUUAUAAAGGAAUAAAGUCGGGUAUGGAUACCCGUUUGCAUGUACUUUAUGAAUAAGGAUCGGCUAACUCCGUGCCAGCAGCCGCGGUAAUACGGAGGAUCCGAGCGUUAUCCGGAUUUAUUGGGUUUAAAGGGAGCGUAGAUGGAUGUUUAAGUCAGUUGUGAAAGUUUGCGGCUCAACCGUAAAAUUGCAGUUGAUACUGGAUAUCUUGAGUGCAGUUGAGGCAGGCGGAAUUCGUGGUGUAGCGGUGAAAUGCUUAGAUAUCACGAAGAACUCCGAUUGCGAAGGCAGCCUGCUAAGCUGCAACUGACAUUGAGGCUCGAAAGUGUGGGUAUCAAACAGGAUUAGAUACCCUGGUAGUCCACACGGUAAACGAUGAAUACUCGCUGUUUGCGAUAUACUGCAAGCGGCCAAGCGAAAGCGUUAAGUAUUCCACCUGGGGAGUACGCCGGCAACGGUGAAACUCAAAGGAAUUGACGGGGGCCCGCACAAGCGGAGGAACAUGUGGUUUAAUUCGAUGAUACGCGAGGAACCUUACCCGGGCUUAAAUUGCAGAUGAAUUACGGUGAAAGCCGUAAGCCGCAAGGCAUCUGUGAAGGUGCUGCAUGGUUGUCGUCAGCUCGUGCCGUGAGGUGUCGGCUUAAGUGCCAUAACGAGCGCAACCCUUGUUGUCAGUUACUAACAGGUUCCGCUGAGGACUCUGACAAGACUGCCAUCGUAAGAUGUGAGGAAGGUGGGGAUGACGUCAAAUCAGCACGGCCCUUACGUCCGGGGCUACACACGUGUUACAAUGGGGGGUACAGAGGGCCGCUACCACGCGAGUGGAUGCCAAUCCCCAAAACUUCUCUCAGUUCGGACUGGAGUCUGCAACCCGACUCCACGAAGCUGGAUUCGCUAGUGAUCGCGCAUCAGCCACGGCGCGGUGAAUACGUUCCCGGGCCUUGUACACACCGCCCGUCAAGCCAUGGGAGCCGGGGGUACCUGAAGUGCGUAACCGCGAGGAGCGCCCUAGGGUAAAACUGGUGACUGGGGCUAAGUCAUAAC
RNAcentral lists this ribosomal RNA (1448 nucleotides) under uncultured organism. Its description in RNAcentral is "SSU rRNA". It matches the Rfam family "Bacterial small subunit ribosomal RNA". The record is from RNAcentral.